UGAAAAUAUAAAUCCUCCAUGCUGCUUUCAGUGUCAAUAGCACAUUGUAAUAUCCAAAGCAUUAUGCAUAUGUAAGUUAUUUCAUGAUUAUGGUGGUGGUAGACCCUUGAACUGUACUCUUAUAAAAGUAGUUCAGUGCUUUUAAUGGUUCAUGGACAAUCGUUACUGAAAAUUUUUAAAUGUAUAUUUUUAUACUCCAUGGUCCAUAUCCCAUCACUUUUCUCAUUCUUACAAUCAUUUUCUUUAAAUUCAGCUCUGACGAACAUACACUGGUAAAGGAUGAAGAGCCAAAGAAAAACGCUUCUUCAGGUUCUACUUCAGGAGAAGAAAAAAGAAGCAGUCUAGUUAUUCAAAUGAAAGGUCCAAGAAAGGAAGAAAGAAAAAAAUAAUCUAAAAGAAAACAUAAGACGUAUUCUGAAGAUAAUGACAAUGACUCUGGUUCUGAAACAGACUCUGGUGAUAAAGAUAUAAAAGGGAGAUCAAAAAAAGCUGAGAAAAAGGAAAAGAAGAAACACAAAUGGCCACUUUUUUUCAUUUAAUUUUUAUUAUGGACAAAGUCAAAUGUAUGUAACAGUACAGAGAAUAGUGUAAUGACACCCCCAUGUAUCCAGCACCCAGCUUGAACAAUUAUCAACUUGUAGGAGGUUGCCACUGGCCUCCAAUUAUUUUGAAACCAUCCCAGCAUGGCAGUUUCAAGUAAGGAAGACAGCAUGAAGAAAGCCAAGGUCUGAUGGUGUGACUGCUGCUGCUUCUUUUUUUUUUUUUUUUU
Molecule: non-coding RNA, 769 nt
Organism: Microcebus murinus (gray mouse lemur)
Lineage: Eukaryota; Metazoa; Chordata; Mammalia; Primates; Cheirogaleidae
Source: RefSeq, a predicted model, not a curated record